Molecule: non-coding RNA, 208 nt
Filed under: Thauera sp. 27
Lineage: Bacteria; Pseudomonadati; Pseudomonadota; Betaproteobacteria; Rhodocyclales; Zoogloeaceae
Also listed under: 1 other name
Source: RNAcentral
AACCUGCGCGCCGUUCAUGGUUGUCUGCCCUAACCAGCAGACAUGAAAAGGGAAUCCGGUGCCGCGCCCCGCGCGCUCAACCCGGAGCUGCCCCCGCAACUGUAAUCGGCGAGUCCUGCGCCCUCUCUGCCACUGGAAUCUUUCCGGGAAGGCUGGCGCAAGGCGAUGACCCGUGAGCCAGGAGACCUGCCAUGCACAUCACCUUCAA